This 501-nucleotide long non-coding RNA is filed under the name Monodelphis domestica (gray short-tailed opossum). RNAcentral describes it as "lncRNA (ENSMODG00000035366.2)". The record is from RNAcentral. Lineage: Eukaryota; Metazoa; Chordata; Mammalia; Didelphimorphia; Didelphidae.
GACAACCCUGGAAAAUAUUGACAAGGCAAAGCAUUCCAACUCAUUCUGAGCUCUGCAUAGAGAAGAGAGGGUUUUCACUUGGAGCCAAGAGUCCUCUGAUUCCUGGAACAAUGUUUUUCAUAGAUGUUGUCAGACCAAAUAUUCAUAAUCUCUAAACUACAUGGAAUUAAAAGCAUUCAAAAUAUAGAGUCCUAACAAUGGAGUUCUAAAUCAUGAAGGAAAACGAGGUUCAUAUUACACUCCGAAUUUGUUCCACUAACCUGAAGUCACUUCCACAUGAACACAACCACAUGAAAAACAUCCCAGUCUUGGAUGAAGACCUAGUUACAUGCAGAAACCUAGAAUCAGAGAAGUUCCGGAUUAGAAAAGGUCUAGAUGAAAAAGUCCCUUGGAAUAGAGCAAAGAAAGCCAUGAUUAGCAAUUUAAGCAUCUAGUAUACCCUUUACAGAAUGUGCCCAACUGUGUGAAACACUUUGUAAUAAAAUUUUAGAUAAAAAUUCA